Molecule: ribosomal RNA, 253 nt
Filed under: uncultured bacterium
Lineage: Bacteria
Description: partial 16S ribosomal RNA
Rfam family: Bacterial small subunit ribosomal RNA
Source: RNAcentral
UACGGAAGGGGCAAGCGUUGUUCGGAAUCAUUGGGCGUAAAGGGCGCGUAGGUGGUUCUGUAUGUCUACCGUGAAAGCAUACAGCUCAACUGUAUUUUGUCGGUAGAAACUGCAGGACUUGAGGCUGGGAGGGGCUGGUGGAAUUCCCUGUGUAGCGGUGAAAUGCGUAGAGAUGGGGGAGAACACUCGUGGCGAAGGCGGCCAGCUAGACCAGUUCUGACACUGAGGCGCGAUAGCGUGGGGAGCAAACAGG